GACGAACGCUGGCGGCGUGCUUAACACAUGCAAGUCGAACGCUGAAGGCCUGGCUUUUGUUGGGUUGGAUGAGUGGCGAACGGGUGAGUAACACGUGAGUAACCUGCCCUCUUCUUUGGGAUAACGCCCGGAAACGGGUGCUAAUACUGGAUAUUCACUGAUCUUCGCAUGGGGGUUGGUGGAAAGGUUUGUUCUGGUGGGGGAUGGGCUCGCGGCCUAUCAGCUUGUUGGUGGGGUGAUGGCCUACCAAGGCUUUGACGGGUAGCCGGCCUGAGAGGGUGACCGGUCACAUUGGGACUGAGAUACGGCCCAGACUCCUACGGGAGGCAGCAGUGGGGAAUAUUGCACAAUGGGAGAAAGCCUGAUGCAGCGACGCCGCGUGAGGGAUGGAGGCCUUCGGGUUGUAAACCUCUUUCGCUCAUGGUCAAGCCGCAACUGUGGGUUGUGGUGAGGGUAGUGGGUAAAGAAGCGCCGGCUAACUACGUG
This 486-nucleotide ribosomal RNA is filed under the name uncultured bacterium. RNAcentral's name for it is "partial 16S ribosomal RNA". It matches the Rfam family "Bacterial small subunit ribosomal RNA", at positions 28 to 507 of the family's 1533-position model. The record is from RNAcentral.